UACGUAGGGUGCGAGCGUUAAUCGGAAUUACUGGGCGUAAAGGGUGCGCAGGCGGUUCUGCAAGUCAGGCGUGAAAGCCCCGGGCUUAACCUGGGAAUGGCGCUUGAAACUACAGGACUGGAGUACGGCAGAGGGAGGUGGAAUUCCACGUGUAGCGGUGAAAUGCGUAGAGAUGUGGAGGAACACCGAUGGCGAAGGCAGCCUCCUGGGCCAAUACUGACGCUCAUGCACGAAAGCGUGGGGAGCAAACAGG
This 253-nucleotide ribosomal RNA is filed under the name uncultured bacterium. RNAcentral's name for it is "partial 16S ribosomal RNA". It matches the Rfam family "Bacterial small subunit ribosomal RNA", at positions 524 to 776 of the family's 1533-position model. The record is from RNAcentral.